Molecule: non-coding RNA, 13097 nt
Organism: Oryctolagus cuniculus (rabbit)
Lineage: Eukaryota; Metazoa; Chordata; Mammalia; Lagomorpha; Leporidae
Source: RefSeq, a predicted model, not a curated record
CUUGGGCCAUCUUCUACUUCUACUUCUACUGUGGCUUUCCCAGGCCACAGCAGAGAGCUGGAUUGGAAGAGGAGCAGCUGGGACUAGAAUGGGCACCCAUAUGGGAUUAACCUACUGCACCAGGGUGCCGGCCCCAUAAAUAAAUCUUUAAAAAGCAAAAAGAGUUACAGAGAGAGGUCUUCCAUCCACUGGUUCACUCCUCAAGUGCUCCCAACAGCCAGAACUGAGCCAGGCCAAAACCAGGAGACAUGGGCUUCAUCCAGGUCUCCCACAUGGGUGGCAAGAGCCCAAGUAUUUGGGCCGUAUCCUGCUGCUUUUCCCAGGUCACUAGCAGGGAGCUGGAUUGGAAGUGUAGCAGUUGGGAUAUGCCCAUAUAGGAUGCAACCAUAGCAGGAGGUCUGUUUACGCACUACACUCUGAACUUUUUAAGAGUCUCCUUUAUGCAUGGAUUUCAAAAAAUUUUUUCACCAAAAUUAAUUUAUCUUUUAAUUCCAUUUUUUACAAGCUUUUUAUCAGUGCUGGAUCAGGGCAAAUCCACAUGAACCACACAUCCCAUUUAUAACUUGGAAGUGUGUUGUCCAGUUUUACAAAAAGAAAUAAUGCAAAGGAAAGCACACCUGGUUGCAGGAAGACAACUUAGUGUGAUAGGCCUUCCUUUGCGAGGUCACGUGACACAGCACUCCUUUGGUGCCUGCGUAUGGAUUCUGCUGUAACCAUGAUGGUCAUAGGCAAAUUGUUUCAUCACUGUGGGCUGUGUACUACAGUGUCAUAAGUGUUUUGUGAGAAGGAUCUAGUGAUGUAGCAAGUGCUCAAAAACCAUGACUGAGCCAGACGGACUCUGAAUGAAUAAUACUGCUGAAUGAGUUGAUUUGUUCAACACGCACUAUAGUUCCUCAUGCAAGACAUUGUGCAUGGGCUUACAUGUGACUUUCUUUAGCGUGGCUCAUGUAAAAUUACCUGGCUCUUCCAAACGUCAAGCAAACCACAUUAUUGCUUCCUACCACAGUGGUGUGCACUCUUUCCAUAUCUUAUUCGUAUCUACCAAAGAUAUACUGAAAAGAAUAAACUACUUUUGCAGAAAAUUCCAGGCAGAGAAACGGAAUGUACCACUUAAGUCGUCAUCUAUCGUGGAAACAUUUGGUGCAGCCAGUCUCCAAUGUAAAGUACUCAUCCUUACAAUUUACUUCUGAUCUUCAUGACCAAUGCCAACACUGUGAGAACUGGAACCAAGUUGCAAAGGCCAGUGGCAAUGCCCGAGGCCUCUCCUGUAGAGCGGAUGCCCUUGUGGACGCACCAUUGAGAUGAUGGGAAUUUGCUGAGACUUGUGAGCUGCUAAAGGAAUGUGCCAGGAGAAAGCGCUUCUUGUGCCACUGAGAUCUCUCGGGAGAACUCUCUCCAGAAGGUUAUGGCGGACCAGGACAGCACAGGCUGGACAGCAGACUGUGGUCAGUGGUACUCUCCCAAAGAAGCAAUUUUCCCAGAUAAGUAAUACUUCUUGUUGUCAUUAGUCAGUGUCUUAAUGAGCUUUUCUCUUUGACUAUAUGCGGAUGUAAACCAGGUUGGGCUUUACCUGCUCAGUUCAGGCAGUAAAUCAGCAGGAGGUGGGAGCUGGUGUUGAUGGCUACCACCAUCUUAUGUCUCCCCUCUCCUGUAAUAUAAUUUCAAAUGCCUCCACACCACCCCACCCCAGAAUAUAAUAUUAAGUGAAAAAAGUUAAUUACAAAAGAAAGCAUACAACAUGAUUCCAUGGAUAUAAAGCUCAAAAUUUGUAAAACUGGAAGUGUGCAUGUAGCCUUGUGGUUAAGGUGCCCUCAUCCUACGUAAAAGUGCCUGUGUUCAACUCCUGGCUCUUAGUCUAGACUCCAGCUUUUGGCCAGUGCAGACCUUGGGAAGCAAUGAUAAUCACUCAAGUAGUGGGGUCCCUGCCACCUAUGUGCAAAACUUGGAGUGAGUUCUUGGCUCCUGGUUUCAGCCCUAGCCCAGCACCAAUAGUUGUAGACAUUUGGGGAAUGAACUGGCACAUGUGAGCACGUGCACUCUCUCAGUCCCUCCCUCUCUCUUCUUUCUUCCAUUCAAAUAAAUUUAAAAAUUUAUAAAACUAAACAAGUUUCUUUAGGGUAUAUUUAUGUAUUAGUAGCAAAACUAUACAGACAAGCAAGAGAACAAUAAACACAUGAGGAAUCUCCACAAAGGCAUUUAGGAAGUGCACCAGUAGAUGGGAGAUUCUCUCUCUCUCCCUCCCUCUCUUACUCCCUCUCUCCCCUUUCAAAUAAAAUAAAUAAGCAAAUUUUAAAAGUUCACGGCAAUGCAUAUUAUUAAAAAUAAUGCAUGGAUAUAAAAUAUUUUUGCAUCAAAAUAAACUUACCAUUUAAUUCCAUUUUCUAUGAAUUUUUCCUAAAAAUGCAAAGUAUGUUAAAAUUCAUGUAUGUUACUAGAAACCUGAGAGAAAAGACUGCAACUCAUACUUAUUUAUAUCUGACCCUCCCUCCACCCCUACCAUGUAGAUAUAGCUUAGCAGUGAGCUCAGAGCCUUACAAAUUGGACACUGAAAAAGUGUUAAAAAAUUGGUUCAUAUCAAAGUUCAGUGGUUUUUUUUUCUGAUUUACUUUUUUUUUAAAGAGAUUUUCUUUAUAUGAAAGGUAGAGUGACAGAGUAGGAGGGAGAGACCCAGAGAGAAAGAGAACUUGUAUCUGAUGGUUCACUCCCCAAAUUUCAAUCUUGGUGGGGGCUGUGCCAGGCUGAAACCAGGAGCCUGGAACCCCAGGCAGGCCUCCCACUUCAGUGGCAGAGGCCCAAGCACUUGGCCGUCUUCUGCCGCUUUCCCAGGCUCAUUUGCAGGAAGCUGGAUCAGAAGUGGCGCGUCGGACAGGCAAAAGAGCUCUCCAAUAUGGGGUGAGACGCCAGUGUUGCAGGCAGUGGCUUAACCAGCAACCAGCUGCAUAGCACCAGCACUUCUGCUUUCCUUCCUGACUUCACAAAAUACUUUUUCUCCAAGAAGUGGAGUUGUCAUUGAAGUAAAGUGUCAUCUUGUUGACCAACAGUUCUCUGAUUUCUCUUCCUUCCUGUAGGUCCACAGGGCUUCUAGGUAUUCCAGAACUCAAAGCUGCAUUAAGAAUAGCUACCUUGAAAUGUCAGUAGGUCCUUUUCAAAUGCUGCUUCUCUAAAUCUUCCAGGUGAAAAAGAAAUCAUUUGUUUUUUUUCAAAUGACCUGAGAUUUUACAUCUAAAAUAUCCAGCUCUUUAGUUGGUUUGCACAUCCAUGAUCACAUUCACGAUUAGCACAGACUUUUUGCAAUACACAUCAUAUCAAUAGAUGUAUUUAUAAAUGACACCUGAAUCACACCUGGAAAGACAUAUUUUAAUUAUAGCAGAGCUAUUAAAUGUAAAUAUGAGCCAUGGAUUUCCAGUCUUGAGUCCGUAUCGUAGUUUAUAAUUGUACCACAAAUUUCCUUUUGUGAAGAUCCGCGUUUUCCACAUUUCUCCCCUUCUAAGAGCUCCUUUUCUGGAAGAGUCACUCUGGAAAGAGGAGGAAGCCGGUUUCUGAGUCAGUGCUCAGGAAACAGCAGGUCUUUGCUUUGUAGGAUCUGGACUUAAUUCAAAGACUUUUUGGGCUCUAUUCCUAAUAAAAUAAACAAAAUCUGCCAUGAGCCAAUCAAAACAGACUUCGUUGGAACACUUGUGUGCCCUUGGCACUUAACAUAGUCAGUGUCUGGCAGGUAAGAAAAGAGAAAAAAACAAAGAAAAAUAGGGAGAAUAUCUUUCAAAAGGCAUCGGGAACCCCGAAUAAACCGAUUUGCUGUAGACCUUAGCAAUGCCAAAGACAAGACGGACGCGUGCGCUGCGUCAGAUGACAUUUUAGUGUCUUCUUUGCCACUUCUCAGGUGGGGAGGAGCAUACAAGUUCUCUGGAACAUGCAAAUCAAUUCUUUUAUGUAACUGAAUACUUAUUGCUAAUAAUUAAUGGAACCAUUCAUUUUAAAAGCCUAUCACACCCACUUCUGAAAAGGCCUGAGGCAGUUUACAUAUUAACACACAGUUCAAAGAUACACUAUUAUGUGUAAGUACUAAUGACACAGAAUCUGGGAGACACGCAGAAGCCAAGCCAUCGAGGAGCAGUCACGGUCUGGUUUUUUUAGGUGGCUUCAUAGCUUGGACACUACCUCCCACCAGUGCUCACUAGUGGGGACUACGUGUUCUGGAACUUUCCUCACUGCCACAGGGGCUGGCCUUCGUUGCCUGGCAGAAUCAGGAGGACAGCAGCAUAGGUUGAUUCAUUGGAGGAGGAGGAACAACACAGUCGCUUCUGUUCAACAGCUUCAGGUGAAGAACUAAAGGCGGCGGUACCUGAUUGCCCUGGCCGAGGGGGAGGUCCCAGCAUGAGAAACAUGUCGCUGACCUGAAUCCAAAAUACAGCUGAUAGCCAAGCCCAGACAACCCACAGCUUGUAUCAGAGCUGCUCAGCCAGCCGAGGUUACAUUAGUACAGCUGAUGGCAACCAUGGGCGUGAGAUGAACACCAGCUGAGAGAGAAGGUGUAACAUAGUGAUCCAGUGCUGCAGGUGGGUGAACGGGCUGCAGAGACAGAGCUGUCGGGACCCACCCAGGUUAGUGGUCAUGAAUUAAAAUGUGUCCCCAGGAUGGGCAUUUGGCACAGCUGUGAAGACCCUUCUGGAACGCCCACAUCCCACACUGGAGUGUCUGGAUUCAAGUCCUGCCUCUCUUCCAGAUUCCAGCUGCCAACUCCUGUGUACAGUGGGAGGCUCAAGCGCUGAGGUCCCCGCCACCCGCAUGGGAGACCUACAUGGAGUUUUGAGCUCCUGGCUUGCACCUGGCCCAGCUCCAACUGUUGUGGGCAUUUGGAGAGUCAAUCAGUGAGUGGAAGAUCUGUCUCUGACCAUCUGAUCUAUGUCUCUCUCUCUUUGUCUCUCUCUCUGCACCUUUCAAAUAAAUAACAGAAAAAUUAAUUAAGACCCCAUCAGUGUGGUCACGUUUUUCUUAACCAUGUGUCAUGGGUGCAGGUCACAUGGCACGUGACCUAGCUUCAACCAAAGUUAACAGUGUAUCCAUCACCACAAGGCGUGGAGCAAAAGACGAUGAGAUGUGUCUGCUCAGUGUAGCUUUGUCUCUAAACCAGCAGCAUCCCAGGAGCACUGGAGUUCAGUGGCAGUGCCUGGGACCCACAGGAGUCUGUGCAUCACGGGCACCUGUGGCUGAUGCUGCCAGGGCUGGUUGUGAACAGAGAAAUGUCAGUCAGAACGGGGAGCUGCACAGGCCCACAUGCUGUGGCCUGCCCUGACCCCGCAGCAGACAGCAGUGCACACCAGCAGGAACACAUCCCAUACCAUCCGACAGCCUUGUGUGCUCCUGCAAGAUCUUGAACGUGUUCAUGAAGUUGCUGAAUCGCAGUCGCUCUAUUUCUCCAUCAGCAGACUAAAUCCGUGUGAAAAUUAAAAGGCGAAAGUAGACAUGAUCAAGAAACUUGUUCCUGCUUGAAUAUCCUCAGACCCACUCCUGCGUUCGGCAGAUGGCCUCAAAGUACACGGCCUCUCGCCUUAUCUGGGCUUUUAUUUACAUAUCCGUGUCAAUGUUGUUUUAGAAUUCCGGUUUCCUGAUAAGGAGUUAUGUUUGUAUUUAGAAAAACCCAGUGCCUCCUACAGUAUCCUGCAUCCAGAGGACAUUAAUCACUAACGUUUUCAAUUUUAUAUAAAAUAAAUUUCUUUAUAAAAUACCUUCGCCUCAAUCCCUGGAUGGUAUUUUAUUAAUUAACAGUUCUAAUGCAUCCAUAAAAUAGCUGCUUUAUCCACUGGGGCAAAUAUCAAGUCACAUAUAUCAUUUAAACAAUGAAAGUCACCGUUUAUUAGAUAAACUCAAAGGCAUUAGCUGGUUUGUUUAAGUGAUAAUAUAGAUACAUUGUAUCCCCCAUGCAAUACUCACCCAAGUCAGAAUGAAAGAUGGAAGGGUAGACCAUGAAAUUGGGAAGUAGAAGUGUAGUGCUGAAGAGCAGUACUUCCCUUCUGAUCCAGCUCUCUACAGAUGUGCCUGGGAAAGCAGCAGAAGAUGGCCCAGGAACCUGGGCCCCUGUUACCCAUGUGGAAGAUCCACAUGGAGUUCCAGGCUCCUGGCUUCCAUCUGAGCCAGCCCAAGCCAUUGUGUCCAUUCAGGGAGCAAACUAGCUGAUGGAAGAUAUCUCUCUGUGUGUCUCUGUCUCUCUCUUUACUCUGCCUUUCAAAUAAAUCUUUUUUAAAAAUUAAAUUUAAUAAAAAUCAGAAUUCAUAGUCAAAAACGUUGAAUAGGACAGUCAUUUUACACCCAUGGAAAGUAGCAUUCUCCCUGCCAUUGGCACUCCUUGAGAAGUCACAUAAUUGCCUAGAUAUGUGCCUCGUGGAUCGCUAACCUCUAAUUGAACCUCUGGGUUUUGUCAGUCCCCAUUCUCCCAAAUGAUGGUGUUUCUCCAAAGAUGGUAUUUCCUAUUUCUCACCACUCUCAAACACGCCAUUCUUCAGAGAUGAUCUCAUUUCGAGCUCCAGCAAUAACUCAUCGGCAGUCCCUUGGGCCAACACUGUCCUCUCCCCCUUUUGCCUGCCUUGAUCACACCCUGAGAAGAGAAGACCCAUAGGAAAGCAGUGAUGCAGUGUUGGCCCUAGCUACUUUAAAUUUCUUGUCCUGUGAGAAAAAUGAACCCUUGCUUGGGUGAGGUACUGUUGGUAGCUGGGUUUCUGCUACUUAGAGUUGACAGCACUCCUAACUGCUGCUGACCCCACGCUCUGCUUCCAUUCACAACUGGAGAGAGGUCCCUUAUACAGAACUGUGUAACCCUGAUCUUCCUCCUGCUCCUCCUCUCAGAGGUCUCUCUCGAGGGAUUACAACCGCUCUCUCCACAGUAUCUUCAGUCUUUCAGGAAGUAGUAGGCAGUUCGCACCAUCAGUGUUUAAAUACACGCAGGUCUCUCUCACACUAAAGUAAAAAUAAUACUGUCCCUCCACCUCCCAUUUGUCUCCAGCUGCUCCCUUAUCUCUUCCCUCUCACUGACAUUGUGUUCACAAGAGCCGCCUGCAUUCACCAUCUCCAGCUUCUUAUUUCCUAUCCAUUCCACGACCCCGUUGCAUCUGGAUUUAGCCUUGACCAUUGCCUGAACGUGCCUUGGCCAAGGUCACCAGCAACAUCCUUAUUGCAAAUGCAAUGAGAAGUUUUCAAUUCUUAUCUUAUUUGACUUCUUUGUAGCAUUUGACAACCGUGACCACUCAAUCCUUUUUGAACUACUUUCUUUUCUUGAAUUUUUAAAAACCAUUUUUGGUUUCUCCUCUCCUCUUUAGCAGAUACAUCUAAGUCAACCUUGAAGUAACCUCUUCUUUUGCAAGUCUUUUGAGUGUUGGCAUGAUAUUAGGAGCUUUGUAUUGAAGUCUUUGACUACAGUUGCUCCAUACUGGGCAUAAUUUUUUUGGAAUUUUACAAUUUAUUUUUCAUUUUAUUUGAAAGGCAGAGAGAGAGAGAUCUUCAUUCCACUGGUUUGUUCUCCCCACAACAGUUGGGACUGGGCCAGGCAGAAGCCAGGAGUCCAGAACUCCCACAGGGGUGACAGGGACCUAAGUACUUGCACCAUCACCUGCUGUUUCCUAGGGUAUGUGUUAAUAAGAAGCUGGAACUGGAAGCAGAGCUGAGACUUGAACCCAGGCCCUCCAGCAUGCAAUGUGAACAUCCGAACACCUGCCCUGUUACUGUAUGUCGGCAGGCUCCCCAGCCUGUUUCUUCUCCCAUGUUGUCUCUCUCCAUGUCCACCCUUGUGGUCCGCAAUGUCAAAGUGACCCUUGAUGCUCCUCUCUCUCUUGGUUCUCCAAUCUAUUUAAUCAGCAAGCCCUGUAAAUUCUUUCUGCAAAAAUGUCUCUCAAAUCUGCCCCUUCACCUAGUUUCACCAAUCUUAGCCUAGAUGGACCCCCCUCUGCCAUCAGUUCCCUGAUACUUCUCCUUCUGUGGCCCCGUCUCUCUGCUGCAGCUAAAGGGAACUUCUAUUAGGUUCUCCAAAGCUGCCAACUUCUCUCUCACCUCCGGGCUUUCAUUCAUGCUAUUUUCUCAAACUACUAUUCUUAAUUUUUUAAAAAUUUUAAAAGAUUUAUUUAUUUAUUUGAAAGGCAGAGUUGGGGGUGAGGAGAGAGAGAAAGGUGUCUUCCAUCCACUGGUUCACUCCCCAGAUGGCCACAAUGGCUGGAGCUGCGCCGAUUCAAAGCCGGGAACCAGGAGCUUCUUCCAGGUCUCCCACGAAGGUUCAGGGGCUCAAGGACUUGAGCCAUCUUCUGCUGCUUUCCCAGGCCAUACAGAGAGCUGGAUCGGAAGUGGAGCAGCCGGGACUCGAACCAGCGUCCAUAUGGGAUGCCAGCGCAACAGGCUGUGGCUUUACCCACUAGGCCAUAGUGCUGGCCCCAGAACUCUUUAAUAAUAUUUGAAUUCUCAGUGUAAGUGUUACUUACCUGGUACCCUUAGGCUAGGCUGGAUACUGCAGCAGCACAGCAGUAUCAAUGUUUUUGUUUUAUUUUGCUACAGGAGGACACAUUUCAUCUCUAGUUACCAGCCUCUCCAAAUAGAUUUCUAUGCUAAAUUACAAUAUCCAUAUUUUAAUUUUAUUUGCACCAAGCUAAAAAUUCUCAGUAUAGCAUUGGCAUUCAUCAAAGGUUAUGAACUGAAUGCCUGAACUAUGAAAAUUUCCAUUUAGGUUUAAGAACUACUUAACAUAACAUGUAAAAGUAAUAAAUGAAUGAAUGAUGGAACAAAUGAUCAUUACAAUGACUUUUGUGUCAUUAAAGAUAAUUAUAUUCUACUUAUUGGAAUGAAUAUGCUACUUUUAAAAGUCAAGAGUAGGGGCCAGCUUUGGGCAUAGUCGGUAAAGCUGCCACCUGCAACACCAGCAUCCCAUAUGGGCACCAGUUCGAGUCUAGGUUCUUCCACUUCCAAUCCAACUCCUUGCUAAUGUGCCUGGGGAUGCUGCAGAAGAUGGUCUAAGUCCCUGGGCACCUACGACCACAUGGAAGACCUGGAAGUAGCUCCUGCCUCCUGGCUACGGCCUGGCCCAGCCCUGGUGGUUGCAGCCAUUUGGGGAGUGAACCAGCAGACGGAAGAUCUCUGUCUCUCCUUCUCUCUCUCUGUAAUUCUGCUUUUCAAAUAAAUGAAAUAAAUCUUAAAAAAAUUAAAAAGCCAAAAGUGAUCUUCCAUUUUCCCCGGAGUAUAUUGCCUAUUGCAACAGAAGUUCCCCGAAAGAACAAUUAAACAGAAUAUGUAUAAAACACUCCCUACAUCUACAGCGAUUGUUCAAGCUGAAAAGAUUACACAAAGUACUGAAGAACCUAGACAUGAUGCGGAAGUACAAGGUCUAACUAAAUCCUGUGAUGAUUAGUGAUCACCAGGGACACAGAGGCCAGCAAGACUUACAGUAAUUUAAGGGUAAAACCAUUAUGUAACAGUGUUACCAGUAAAUUCGGAAAUAACAAUGUGACAUUAUUGAAACAUUCAGAUUAUUGCCAGGACUUACUGUAAUUAGUUUUCUCUACUUAAUAUGCAUGUGGUUCAGAUUAUCACACCAAAAAGCGCAUUUGUUUGAUGAACCAGAAGCCAAAACACCGAUUAGCUCAAACGUUUCACACAGUUCCAACCGUCCAAUGCCAACAAAACAUAAUUGAGCACACAAACGUCUAUGUGCAGCCCAGAUAAAUUUUACAGCAAGUUAUCUAUUUAUUUUUUUCUUUUUAAACUUUAUUUAUUUAUUUGAAAGAAUUGCAGAGAGAGAGAUAGAGAGAGAGAGAAAGAAAGAAAGGAGGUCUUCCAUCCGCUGGUUCACUCCCCAGUUGCCCCAAACGGCCAGAGCUGAGCCAAUCUGAAGCCAGGAGCCAGGAGCUUCUUCCAGGUUGCCCACAUGCGUGCAGGGGCCCAAGCACUUGGGUCAUCUUCUACUGCUUUCCCAAGCCAUAGCAGAGAGCUAGAUCGGAGGUAGAGCAACCAGGACUCAAACUGGGGCCCACAUGGGAUGCCGGCACUGCAGGUGGCAGCUUUACCCAUUAUGCCAUAGUGCCAGCCCAACCUAUUUCUUUAUUCCAAGGAUAAAAUGGUAUUUUUCCUACAUUUUAAAACUUUUUUUUAUAAAGCAUGAGACAAAAGGACAGCUAUUGUCAUGUUUAGCAAAAUAUAUUUCAAUAUAAUUGUGUAAUUUUAUGAAGGAAAAGCCUGUCUAAAUACAAACAGAGUCCACAUUCAGAUGAAGAAAUGAUAAAGGGCUGGCACUGAGGCACAGGGGGCUAAGCCACAGCCUGCAACAACAGCAUCCCUUGCGGGUACCAGUUAGAGCCCCAGCUGCUCCACUUGGAUCCAGUACUCUGUUAAUGAGCCUGGGAAAGCAGCAGAGGACAGCCCACUGCCCCUGCACCCACAUGGGAGACCCAGAAGAAGCUCCUGGCUCCUGGCUUGAGCCUGGCCAAGCAGCUCUGGUUAUUGUGGCCAUUUGGGAAGUGAACCAGCAGAUGGAAGAUCUUUCUCUGUCUCUCCUUCUCUCUUCCUGUAACUCUGAAAAAGAUAAAAGCAAAAAAAAAUUAAAGAUCAAUUUUUAUAUUUUAUCAUUGAUCUUUUAAGCCAGAUCUGGCUGAGAAAUAUGAUUGAGGCAAAAUGCCUGGCAAAAGCUGUCAAGCCAAUCUAUUCCUUCACAUUUCAUGUUUACUUGCUUUAGGAUUCAAAACUUUCCCUAUAACGUUUAUAAUUUGUUUACAGCUGGGACUCCACACUCUUAAAUUUUCUGUUGACUCUAGAAUUCAGUUUUAAGUUCCUGGAAGGCAGGUCUCAUGUGUAUAUAUCUUAUUAAGCUGCACAGCACUCAGAUACACAACGAUCUGAAAAUAAAUGAGUAAAUCCCGUAUCACAUAUUGUGGUACACUGGAGUAGGAUCAGAAUUGGCCUUGGACUUGGGUGGCUGACUGCCAGAAACCCAUCCUCUGGUGGCCUGCUGUGUGACACCCUUUCUCCAGUUAGAGGCCCUACUCCUUGGCCACAGCGGUGAGCACACUAACCAAGGUUACCUAAGUAGAGUCCUUCUGGGCCCGGAAACUAACUCUGGGAAAGAGGAGCUCUUCUCUCUGAUCUCAGAGCUCCUUGGAGCUGAGUGUUGGCCUUGUCUAGAGCUGCUUUCUCAGCUUCCAGGAGAAGCUGUCUCUAUAGGUUAGAGAGAGAGAGAGAGAGAGAGAGAGAGAGAACAGAGGAAGGGGAUGAAGGGAGGCCCGUGAACCCUACACCCCUAAAGCCAGCCUCACCCAUGCUGUUCCUGCAGUUAGAUUGUAAGAGCCAAUAAACUCCACUGCCUCACAAGGUCAUGUAAGGAUGCCCUCACUGGGAGCCAGAAUUCUGAGGAGUACAGACCCAGAAUUGUAUUCUUAUAAGGACCCUUGGAAUUCAUGGGGGCCAAAAUCCUCACGUUAGGUAUUAGGAAAAUGGAUUAGUUAAAGAGGUUAAGUACCUUGCACAAAGUCCAGCAGUGACAUUGUGAGGAAGAAGAAUACCGUGACCUGUUCUGUAGACUGGUUCUGUCCUCAUUCUAAAGCCGUUGUCGCUGGAGACUACCAACACGUCCCAGUCUCCCUGCAGCGGGGGCACAGACAUGUGGCCUGCAUCCCUGGCCAGGACAGGCAUGUGCCUGGGGCUUAGAUGACAUGCGAGCAACGACAGGGUUUGUACCUUCUGGGGAACAUGUGGUGGUCCCUGUAAGACAACUGAGCAGAUUCUCUGGCACGUAGUCUUCCACCUGCCAGUGCAGCGGUGGCCCCCUACAACCACCGGUCUCCUGUUUGCUUUGACUGAGUAGGGUCCAAAUGGGUGGUAUGGCUCUCUCAAAAUGCUAGAGCCAUCUCAUAACUGUCAAUAAGCACUUUCAUUUGUAAAUUAGUUAGAUUGCUGAUUGAGACCAAGGAAGUGGCAGACUGGAGCUGUCUCUCUCUCUGUCUCUCUCUCUCUCUCAAAUAUAAAUAAUUUGUUUUAAAAAACAGCUUUGACUUCUAUACAAUUUGGUGCCUGGAAUUGGGGGGGCAGUGUGCACCUAGGGCAUAUAUGUCGUAAACCAGGAAGCCAGUAACUCUUGCUUGCAAUGAUGUCAGAGUUUGUCCAACAGUGCCCUGCUGAGCCUUGGAAAGCAGACGGUCCUGUGAAUGAGGGAGUAAGGAAAACUUAGCCUAGAAUAAAGACAAUUUAAUAGGGCAUAGGUAAUAAUUCUGAGUGAACAGACUAGUCAAACUUCUCAGUAUCACUUAGAAAUUCAGUAGAACUUAAAAAUUGUUUUUAGCUGUAUCAGAAACUAAAAUAUAGAAACUAAAGUAAAUUGGGGUUUUAUUUUUUUUCACAUCUUGAAAAUAGUGGCCACUAAAGGGAGACUCAUUCCAUGUACUUUCUGUAUUCAAAGUGGAAUCCUAAACCAUCAACAGAAAAGUGAAGAGAUAGGCAGUAUUCCAAAAGAGACAGGAGUGGUCUCUCUUACUCUAAAAGUAUUUCACUAGGCUCUCUUUGUAUUUUGAUCAUGUAUAUUGCUUUACAACUUAAGACAUACAUUCAGAGUCUUCUCUAUCUCUGUCUCCUCUCACCCCCUCCUUCCUCUCUCGCCCCUUCUCCCUCUGCCUUUCUUUUGUUCCCUACAACCCUGUAAGGCCUCUGAGUCGUCACAGUUCAUGAUGCUUUCCAUUUCAGAGACAAAGAAACCAAGGUUUGGGGCUAGUGUGGUAAUACAGUGAGUUAAGCUGUCACUUAACAAUGCUAGCAUUCUAUAUCAGAGCACUAGUUCAAGUUCCAGUCACUCCACUUCUGGUCCAGCUCCCUGUUAAUGCACCUGGGAAGAAGUUGGCCCAAGUGCUUGGUCCCUAGCCACCUAUGUGGGAGACCCAGAUGGAGUUCCUGGCUUCAGCCUGGUCAACCUUGCUUGUUGUGGCCCUUUGGGCAGUGAACCAGAGGGUGGAAGAUCUCUCUCUCUUUCUCUCUCUCUCUCCCCCCUUCCCCCCCCUCUCUCCCCUUCCCUCUCUCCCUCUCUCUCUUCUUCCCUCCCACCCUCUCUCCCCCUUUCCCCUUCUAUCCCUGUCUCCCCUUCUCCCCCU